This 434-nucleotide ribosomal RNA is filed under the name uncultured Ruminococcus sp. Its description in RNAcentral is "bacterial SSU rRNA". It matches the Rfam family "Bacterial small subunit ribosomal RNA", at positions 341 to 792 of the family's 1533-position model. Lineage: Bacteria; Bacillati; Bacillota; Clostridia; Eubacteriales; Oscillospiraceae. The record is from RNAcentral.
ACGGGAGGCAGCAGUGGGGAAUAUUGCACAAUGGGGGAAACCCUGAUGCAGCGAUGCCGCGUGGAGGAAGAAGGUUUUCGGAUUGUAAACCUCUGUCAACAGGGACGAAAAUGACGGUACCUGUGAAGGAAGCUCCGGCUAACUACGUGCCAGCAGCCGCGGUAAUACGUAGGGAGCAAGCGUUAUCCGGAAUUACUGGGUGUAAAGGGAGUGUAGGCGGGACUGUAAGUCAGAUGUGAAAUAUGCGGGCUCAACUGGCAGACUGCAUUUGAAACUGCGGUUCUUGAGUGAAGUAGAGGUAAGCGGAAUUCCUAGUGUAGCGGUGAAAUGCGUAGAUAUUAGGAGGAACAUCAGUGGCGAAGGCGGCUUACUGGGCUUUAACUGACGCUGAGGCUCGAAAGCGUGGGGAGCAAACAGGAUUAGAUACCCUGGUA